AGCGGCGGAUGGGUGAGUAACACGUGGGGAACCUGCCCCUAAGUCUGGGAUACCAUUUGGAAACAGGUGCUAAUACCGGAUAAUAAAGCAGAUCGCAUGAUCAGCUUUUGAAAGGCGGCGUAAGCUGUCGCUAAGGGAUGGCCCCGCGGUGCAUUAGCUAGUUGGUAAGGUAACGGCUUACCAAGGCGACGAUGCAUAGCCGAGUUGAGAGACUGAUCGGCCACAUUGGGACUGAGACACGGCCCAAACUCCUACGGGAGGCAGCAGUAGGGAAUCUUCCACAAUGGACGCAAGUCUGAUGGAGCAACGCCGCGUGAGUGAAGAAGGUUUUCGGAUCGUAAAGCUCUGUUGUUGGUGAAGAAGGAUAGAGGUAGUAACUGCCUUUAUUUGACGGUAAUCAACCAGAAAGUCACGGCUAACUACGUGCCAGCAGCCGCGGUAAUACGUAGGUGGCAAGCGUUGUCCGGAUUUAUUGGGCGUAAAGCGAGCGCAGGCGGAAAAAUAAGUCUAAUGUGAAAGCCCUCGGCUUAACCGAGGAACUGCAUCGGAAACUGUUUUUCUUGAGUGCAGAAGAGGAGAGUGGAACUCCAUGUGUAGCGGUGGAAUGCGUAGAUAUAUGGAAGAACACCAGUGGCGAAGGCGGCUCUCUGGUCUGCAACUGACGCUGAGGCUCGAAAGCAUGGGUAGCGAACAGGAUUAGAUACCCUGGUAGUCCGUGCCGUAAACGAUGAGUGCUAAGUGU
RNAcentral lists this ribosomal RNA (742 nucleotides) under uncultured bacterium. RNAcentral's name for it is "bacterial SSU rRNA". It matches the Rfam family "Bacterial small subunit ribosomal RNA", at positions 94 to 823 of the family's 1533-position model. The record is from RNAcentral.